UUGGAGGGCAAGUCUGGUGCCAGCAGCCGCGGUAAUUCCAGCUCCAAUAGCGUAUAUUAAAGUUGUUGCAGUUAAAAAGCUCGUAGUUGAACUUCGGGGUUCACCCAUUGGUCAGGCUUAAUUGUCUGUACUGGUGAGAUGAAUCUCUACCUUCUGAGGAACUUUCAUGCCAUUUAUUUGGUGUGAUGGGAAAUCAGGAUUGUUACUUUGAAAAAAUUAGAGUGUUUAAAGCAGGCUAACGUCUGAAUACAUUAGCAUGGAAUAAUGAAAUAGGACGGAUUGAUUCUAUUUCGUUGGUUUCUAGGAUCACCGUAAUGAUUAAUAGGGAUAGUUGGGGGCAUUAGUAUUCAAUUGUCAGAGGUGAAAUUCUUGGAUUUAUUGAAGACUAACUACUGCGAAAGCAUUCGCCAAGGAUGUUUUCAUUAAUCAAGAACGAAAGUUAGGGGAUCGAAGACGAUCAGAUACCGUCGUAGUCUUAACCAUAAACUAUGCCGACUAGGGAUCGGACGAAGUUAAUUUUAUAAUGACGCGUUCGGCACCUUACGGGAAA
RNAcentral lists this ribosomal RNA (550 nucleotides) under Retama raetam. Its description in RNAcentral is "SSU rRNA". It matches the Rfam family "Eukaryotic small subunit ribosomal RNA", at positions 548 to 1097 of the family's 1831-position model. Lineage: Eukaryota; Viridiplantae; Streptophyta; Magnoliopsida; Fabales; Fabaceae. The record is from RNAcentral.